Molecule: ribosomal RNA, 253 nt
Filed under: uncultured bacterium
Lineage: Bacteria
Description: partial 16S ribosomal RNA
Rfam family: Bacterial small subunit ribosomal RNA
Source: RNAcentral
UACGUAGGGGGCGAGCGUUGUCCGGAUUUAUUGGGCGUAAAGAGCGUGUAGGCGGCCAGGUAGGUCUGCUGUGAAAACUCGAGGCUCAACCUCGAGACGUCGGCGGAAACCAUCUGGCUGGAGUCCGGAAGAGGAGAGUGGAAUUCCUGGUGUAGCGGUGAAAUGCGCAGAUAUCAGGAAGAACACCCGUGGCGAAGGCGGCUCUCUGGGACGGUACUGACGCUGAGACGCGAAAGCGUGGGGAGCGAACAGG